This 435-nucleotide long non-coding RNA is filed under the name Ananas comosus (pineapple). RNAcentral's name for it is "long non-coding RNA (ACOM_LNC035291)". Lineage: Eukaryota; Viridiplantae; Streptophyta; Magnoliopsida; Poales; Bromeliaceae. The record is from RNAcentral.
CUUGACCCCGAGGGUAUGCCAGAUCCGCCACAAAUACAGGGAGUCCACUGUUCAGACGGACAGAGUCUCCUCUGUAUUUGCACGACGUCGCACAUGUACAAAGAUACAACCAUAACUGUAUGAACAUUCACAUACAUAAACCACAUCACAAUUACCAUUCAUUUAAUCACAGAUAUUCACAUCCACAUCUAUUAGUUUAAAAUAUUUCCUACCGGGAAACUUAUUUUGAAACACUAAGAAUCAUGAAAACCAUGCAAAAUCUUUUUAAAUUCGUUUCCCACACGGAAACCUUUUUCUUUUAAAAUACGCUACCACGAGGGGUAGAAAACCAUUUUCAUCACAUAAAAACCACAAGUUCUUUAUUAUAUUCACCAAAUCCCAAUUAUCCAAUUAAAGUAAAACACUGAACCAUAAUUACUGUCUAAGUCAAUUAUU